RNAcentral lists this ribosomal RNA (344 nucleotides) under Pravonitor aquilonius. RNAcentral's name for it is "partial large subunit ribosomal RNA". It matches the Rfam family "Bacterial large subunit ribosomal RNA", at positions 1809 to 2536 of the family's 2925-position model. The record is from RNAcentral. Lineage: Eukaryota; Metazoa; Mollusca; Gastropoda; Stylommatophora; Helicarionidae.
AAAAACAUAGUCUUAUGAUAUAAGGUGAAACCUGCCCAUGAGAAAUUAAAUGGCCGCAGUACUUUGACUGUGCUAAGGUAGCAUAAUAAAUUGACUUUUAAUUGGAGCCUAGAAUGAAAGGAUUGAUAAAUUCUGUCUUAUUUAAUUACUUAAAAGUUGCUUAAAAGGUGAAAAUACCUUUAUAUUAUAAAAUAGACGAGAAGACCCUAGGAGUUUGAAAUUUUGUUGGGGCAACAAUAUAGCAAUACCUAUAUUUAUUUAUAUAAAACGAAAAAUUUUAAUAAGAAAUAAACUACCCUAGGGAUAACAGCAUAAUUUAUUAAGAUUGUGACCUCGAUGUUGGA